UCCUGCCUCUGUCUUCAGUUUCAUGAAGCAGCCACACGAGGGCGCUCUUUAACCUGUUAUUGCACUGAAAUGUUGGAGUGACCCAAACUGAACUGUCUCUGCACCUUUUCUACUCCUGAAUAAACUCUGAGGAGACGACCCGGUCUGGAUGAUCCUGAAGAGUCCUGAGUCAGAUCUGGACCGGCCUGAUCCUCUGAUGGUGAGGCUGUCAUCCUCACUGUGGUCUGAUUAUUGAUUAUUGAUUAUUGUGAUUAUUUCACUCCAUGUAAACCAAACUCCCUGUUCUUCUAAUGUUUUUCUCCUUCCACCAACAGAACAAUCAUAC
This is a non-coding RNA of Xyrichtys novacula (pearly razorfish), 325 nucleotides long. Lineage: Eukaryota; Metazoa; Chordata; Actinopteri; Labriformes; Labridae. The record is from the annotation of a GenBank genome assembly.